Molecule: ribosomal RNA, 302 nt
Filed under: uncultured bacterium
Lineage: Bacteria
Description: partial 16S ribosomal RNA
Rfam family: Bacterial small subunit ribosomal RNA
Source: RNAcentral
GCAGCAGCCACGGGAAUACGUAGGUGGCAAGCGUUGUCCGGAAUUAUUGGGCGUAAAGCGCGCGCAGGCGGCCUAUCCAGUCUGUCUUAAAAGUUCGGGGCUCAACCCCGUGAUGGGAUGGAAACUAGUAGGCUAGAGUAUCGGAGAGGAAAGCGGAAUUCCUAGUGUAGCGGUGAAAUGCGUAGAUAUUAGGAAGAACACCAGUGGCGAUGGCGGCUUUCUGGACGAAAACUGACGCUGAGGCGCGAAAGCUAGGGGAGCGAACGGGAUUAGAUACCCCCGUAGUCCCUGUCUCUUAUACA